AAGAGCCGUGUUCUGUUUAAUUCUAUUAAUUGGCAUGGUCAAUAGAGCGGAAGAUGGUUAAAAGAGGAGACCGACCUGGUUGAAGCUCUGCCUGACGUCAAAGUGGAGGCAAUAAUAGAGCAACAGUG
Long non-coding RNA from Drosophila navojoa, 128 nucleotides. The record is from RefSeq and is a predicted model, not a curated record. Lineage: Eukaryota; Metazoa; Arthropoda; Insecta; Diptera; Drosophilidae.